AAGUCGUAACAAGGUAUCCGUAGGUGAACCUGCGGAUGGAUCAUUAAAAAGCUGAACCUAUCAGUAUACACCCAUGUUGUCGACGACGUGUCUUGUUGGCGCUGGAACGCACCCGGCCGCACGCGGUCGGGAGGCAGUGAAGGCGCCGGCCUCCAAACCAUACGCAAGCUUGUAUAUUCUGUGAACACAAUUACAAAAAUCUAUACAACUGCUAGCAACGGAUCACUCGGCUCUC
Molecule: unclassified non-coding RNA, 235 nt
Filed under: fungal sp.
Lineage: Eukaryota; Fungi
Description: partial internal transcribed spacer region
Rfam family: Eukaryotic small subunit ribosomal RNA (bases 1-46)
Source: RNAcentral